Molecule: ribosomal RNA, 214 nt
Filed under: Campeiostachys nutans
Lineage: Eukaryota; Viridiplantae; Streptophyta; Magnoliopsida; Poales; Poaceae
Description: Elymus nutans partial small subunit ribosomal RNA
Rfam family: Eukaryotic small subunit ribosomal RNA (bases 37-214)
Source: RNAcentral
GGAUCAAUAUGUUGGUCGUGCCUUGGUACGUACUAGUUUAUUGGUUUCUUCCUUCUGACGAACCAUGAUGUCAUUAAUUUGGUGUCUUGGGGAAUCUGGACUGUUACUUUGAAAAAAUUAGAGUGUUUAAAGCAGGCUAACGCCUGAAUACAUUAGCAUGGAAUAACGAAAUAGGACGUUUGAUUCUAUUUUGUUGGUUUCUAGGAUCGACGUA